CCGACCUUAGCACAGUUGGUAAAGCGGAGGACUGUAGAUCCUUAGGUCGCUGGUUCAAAUCCAGCAGGUCGGA
Lycium barbarum (goji berry) is the source of this 73-nucleotide non-coding RNA. The record is from the annotation of a RefSeq genome assembly. Lineage: Eukaryota; Viridiplantae; Streptophyta; Magnoliopsida; Solanales; Solanaceae.